Molecule: ribosomal RNA, 1515 nt
Filed under: uncultured Nanobdellati archaeon
Lineage: Archaea; Nanobdellati
Description: uncultured DPANN archaeon partial 16S ribosomal RNA
Rfam family: Archaeal small subunit ribosomal RNA
Source: RNAcentral
CGUACGGCUCAGUAACACGUAGUCAAUCUACCGUAAAGAGGCGAAUACCCAUGGGAAACUGUGGCUAAUGCGCCAUAGGCCAGGGAUUCUGGAAGGAGCCCUGACUUAAAGGAGCGCGAAUUGCAGCGCUUCCGCUUUACGAUGAGACUGCGGCGGAUCAGGCAGAUGGCGGGGUAACGGCCCACCAUACCUAUAACCCGUAGGGGAUGUGGGAGCAUAAGCCCCGAGAAGGGCACUGAGACAAGGGCCCUAGCACUACGGUGUGCAGCAGGCGCGCAAACUCCACAAUGCGCGUAAGCGUGAUGGGGGGAAUCUGAGUGGUUCACUUUGUGAACCUUUUGCCAAGUAUAGCAAGCUUGGCGAAUAAGUGCUGGGCAAGACCGGUGGCAGCCGCCACGGUAAUACCGGCAGCACAAGUGGUGUCCACGAUUAUUGGGCUUAAAGCGCUCGUAGCCGGCUGAUGCCGUCUCGCGUGAAAUAUUGGCGCUCAACGUCAAUGCGUGCGCGAGAUACCCAUCGGCUAGGGAGCGGGUGAGGUCAGGAGUACUUAUGGGGGGAGGGGUUAAAUCCUGUAAUCCUAUAAGGACUAACGGUGGCGAAGGCGCCUGACUAGGAAUAUACAGGUGCAACAGGGGAAAAGCGGAUUGAACUGUCCUCCAAGCAAGGAUGAUAUGAUUGCAAAGGUUUGCCAAGCUCGCAAAUGGACGAGUUCGGGCAUUGAGCCUAACAAAGAUAAUCAUCGACAGCGAGGGCAAGGUCAAGAAAACUUUCUUCUACAACUCCACGAUGGUGAAAAGGUUUGAAAAGGCGCUUGAAAGAAGAGUAAACAUAUUCAAGUACGCCAAUGCAUAUUCCGGAAAUUACUUCGCGGCGCUGUUCGACUGCAACGGAGGCAAGGAUGCUAAAGGCAUCUUUCUGAAGGGCAUGGACAGCGUUGACGAGGUAGUACUCGAAAGGCUCAACAUACACACGGACAAAAGGGGCAGCAAGGAUUACCUUGCAAACCAGUCCGCAUUCAUAACGCUAAUAAAAGAUUACAGCCUUAGAAUUGCGAGUAUUAUUCAUUGACCCGGAAACGAGCGAGACCCUCGCUUACAGUUGCUACCUGCUUAGAGAUAAGCAGGGCACUCUGUUAGGACCGCCUUCGUUUAAGGAGGAGGAAGGAGAGGGCGACGAUACGUCAGUAUGCUCUGAAUCUUCUGGGCUACACGCGGCAUACAAAGGUCGGCACAAUGAGAUGCAACACCGAAAGGUGAAGCUAAUCCCCUAAAACCGGCCCAAGUUCGGAUUGAGGGCUGAAACUCGCCCUCAUGAAGCUGGAAUCCCUAGUAAUCGCUUGUCACUAUCGAGCGGUGAAUACGUCCCUGCUCCUUGCACACACCGCCUACCAAGCCACCCAAGUGAGGUCUUAGUGAGGCAGCGCCACUGGCGUUUUCGAACUAAGGUUUCGCGAGGUGGGCUAAGGUAUAACAAGGUAUCCGUAGGGGAACCUGCGGAUAGAUCACCUCAAAGGGC